GCGUGUCUCACUGCCAAGUACUAGGCAGUUAUCUCAGUACCGGACCACCUUGCUGCCUAGCAUUACUCCACAACAACAGCAGUGACAGCAAUAACAAUAAAAAUAGCUCGAGUAACAGCAGUAUUAGUGGUAGAUAGUAACAACAGCAACAGUCUAAUGAUAAGCGGCAGAUGUAGCAAUAGAGCGGUGGCAGCUGCAGCAGGGAGACAGCAGUAGGGCGGCAGCAGAAGAGCGGGGGCGGUGACAGCAGAGCGGCGGCGGCGGCAGCAGCAGCAGCUGCAUGAGCAGCUGGACAGGGUCGGGUGGAGGCGACGGUGGCGCCGCGGGUGGCUGGCUAGGGAACCUUCACGAGCAGAGUCUCCUCCGCCAGGAUCGUUGGCGCAGUUUAACCCAACAUAUUUUGCCCAGUGUUUGUACCGUAUUGAUUGAGCUCGUCGCAUUAAUGACUGGACACAAUCGCCUUUUGUGGACCGUCUGGAAGUACAGAUAAAUAUGCAAACGACCCAAGAAGCAAUAAUAGGCCUAUGCCCGUACACCUAGGCCUACGCAAUCAAUACACGGAGACGGAACCCCCCUGCAAUAGACAGACAGAUGAACAGAAAGAGAGAGACGGAGGGAGGGAAGGAGGGAGAGAGGAGACAACACCAUCACCAGCAAUAACCCCCACCACCUCCUCCCCCCCUCUUCAACACCCUGUCUCCCAUCUCCAACAACAAUAUCUAGGCCAAUAACAGCGAAACCUCAAGCAAGAGAUUAUACUGUAGGCCUAAGGGGGGCGUCGCCUUCGUCUUCUAGCAAGUCAGAGCUGUGAGAAAUUCAAUGGUUAAUGGUGUCACCUUUAAACCUAACCUAACCAUUAACUUCAUAAAAGGGGUACCAUCCAUUAUUUACUGUACAAGACUGAAGUGGUGUGUGUGUGUGUGUGUGUGUGUGUGUGUGUGUGUGUGUGUGUGUGUGUGUGUGUGUGUGUGUGACCCAGAGAUAUGUAUGGUACAGGUGUAAAGACCGACAUAAGUACAGGUUAUACAGGUUACAGGUGUUACAGGUGUUACAGGUUAUAGAUAUAAAGAUAAAGGUUGUAACAUACAGUAGUUAUGUUACAUGUCAUUAUGAUGUACUUGUGGUUGUGAGUUACAGGUUGUUGUAAGAUACAUGUUGUGAGUUACAGGUUGUGAGUUACAGGUUGUUGUAAGAUACAUGUUGUGAGUUACAGGUUGUGAGUUACAGGUUGUUGUGAAUUACAGGUUGUUGUAAGUUACAGGUUGUUAUGAGUAACAGGUUCUGAGUUUCAUGUUAUGAGUUACAGGUUUUUGUGAGAUACAUGUUGUGAGUUACAGGUUGUGAGUUACAGGUUGUUGUAAGGUACAGGUUGUUGUGAGUAACAGGUUCUGAGUUUCAUGUUAUGAGUUACAGGUUGUUGUGAGAUACAUGUUGUGAGUUACAUGUGAGUUUCAUGUUGUUCUGAGUUACAGGUUGUGAGUUACAUGUUAUGAGAUACAUGUUGAGAUACAUGUUGUGAGAUACAGGUUGUUGUGAGUUACAGGUUGUGAGAUGUAUGUUGUGAGCUACAGGUUGUUGUUAACUACAGGUUGUUGUGAGGUACAGGUUGUUACGAGCUACAGGUUGUUGUGAGCUACAGGUUGUUGUGAUUUACAGGUUGUGAGUUACAGGUUGUUACGAGCUACAGGUUGUUGUGCGGUACAGGUUGUUGUGAGCUACAGGUUGUGAGAUACAGGUUAAGAUACACGUUGUUGUGAGUUACAGGUUUGAGAUGCAUGUUAUUGUGAGUUACAGGUUGUGAGUUACAGAUUGUUGUAAGUUACAGGUUGUUGUGAGUUACAGGGUGUAAGAUGCAUGUUGUGAGUUACAGGUUGUAGUGAUUUACAGGUUGUGAGUUACAGGUUGUUACGAGCUACAGGUUGUUGUGAGGUACAGGUUGUUACGAGCUACAGGUUGUUGUGAGUUACAGGUCGUUGUGAGCUAAAAGUUAUUGUGAGCUACAGAUUAUUUUGAGGUAUAUUUUGUUAGCUAAAGGUUGUCGGUUUCAGGUUGUAAGAUACAGGUUGUUGAGAGCUACAGGUUGUUGUGAGCUGCUUGUCAAAUUACAGGCCACUAUAAACUCCCACCCCAUGGUUACAGGUUAUUAACCGUUGCAGGCUACAGGUUGUUCACAAUGAUUGGAAAAAUACACAUCAUCUGUUAUCCUUAUCUAUGAACCUUUAUAAGCACUGUUAUCUUAAUACUGAACCGUUAUAAAUUAUGUUAUCUUAGCCUUGAACAUUCAGAAAUAGUCAUAUAUCUCUUAACUAUUCAUAAAAUAUGUUAUCUUAUCAGUGAACCCCCAUAAGCAGUGUUAUAAAAACCUUGAACCCUGAUAAAGAAUCUUAUAUUACACUAGAACCUUUAUUCGUGGUGAUAUGUCUUUGAACCCUUAAAAACAAUGAUAUCUUAUUAUUGAACCUUUAUAAAUGGUGUUAUCUUAUUUUUGAACCUUUAUAAACUGUGUUAUCUUAUUCUUGAAUCUCUAUAGGCAUUAUAAGAUAUGUUAGGGGAACCUUGAACCCUUAUAAAAAAAUUAUAUGAACCUUGAACCCUUAUAAACGAUAUUAUAUGAACCUUGAAUCCUUAUAAAAAAUUAUAUGAACCUUGAACCCUUAUAAACGAUAUUAUAUGAACCUUGAACCCUUUUAAAGGAUAUAUGAACCCUGAACCCUUAUAAACAAUAUUAUAGGAACCUUGAACCUUUAUAAACAAUAUUAUAUGAACCUUGAACCCUUUUAAACGAUAUUAUAUGAACCUUGAACCCUUAUAAACGAUAUUAUAUGAACCUUGAACCCUUAUAAACAAUAUUAUAGGAACCUUCAACCUUUAUAAACAAUAUUAUAUGAACCUCAAAUCCCUAUAAACGAUAUUAUAUGAACCCCGAACCCCUAUAAACGAUAUUAUAUGAACCUUGAACCCUUUUAAAGGAUAUAUGAACCCUGAACCCUUUUAAACGAUAUUAUAUGAACCUUGAACCCUUUUAAAUGAUAUUAUAUGAACCCUGAACCCGUAUAAACAUUAUAAUAGGAACCUUGAACCCUUAUAAACGAUAUUAUAUGAACCCUGAACCCUUAUAAACGAUAUCAUAGGCACCUUGAACCCUUAUAAACGAUAUAAUAUGAACCUCGAACCCUUUUAAGUUAUAUUAUAUGAACCUCGAACCCUUUUAAAUGAUAUUAUAUGAACCCUGAACCUUUAUAAACAAUGUUGUCAUAUCCUUGAAGACAUAUUACACUUAUCACAGGACUCUCACAUUGGUAGUCCAUUAAAUCAAACUUAUCCUAUAGCCUUCAAUGUACAUAAACAAUAUUGCUAUUUCUCAAACUCUCGUAAAUGCUGACACCAUCAUCCUGAAUUCUGAAAAAUGCUGAUGCCAUAAUUUUGAACUAAAUGACUAUUUUUUAAACUCUUGAUAAAUGCUGAUUAAACUCU
This is a long non-coding RNA of Homarus americanus (American lobster), 3474 nucleotides long. RefSeq lists it as uncharacterized. Lineage: Eukaryota; Metazoa; Arthropoda; Malacostraca; Decapoda; Nephropidae. The record is from RefSeq and is a predicted model, not a curated record. The transcript is spliced from 2 exons.